UCUCCAGUGGUUAAGACCCUGCACUUUCAAUGCAGGGAGCACAGGUUCGAUUCCUGGUUGGGGAA
This 65-nucleotide transfer RNA is filed under the name Ovis aries (sheep). It matches the Rfam family "tRNA". From Rfam's summary of the family: Transfer RNA (tRNA) molecules are approximately 80 nucleotides in length. The record is from Rfam by way of RNAcentral. Lineage: Eukaryota; Metazoa; Chordata; Mammalia; Artiodactyla; Bovidae.